This is a long non-coding RNA of Chinchilla lanigera (long-tailed chinchilla), 1262 nucleotides long. RefSeq lists it as uncharacterized. NCBI's taxonomy places the organism in Eukaryota, Metazoa, Chordata, Mammalia, Rodentia, Chinchillidae. The transcript has 2 exons. The record is from RefSeq and is a predicted model, not a curated record.
AAAGGAAAGGCUGCAGAGAUGGAAGAAUUAAUGAGUCCAGAAAAUCCUGGGCAAACACAUUGGGCUUGGGGUUCAGGGUUUUCAGUGCUGACCAUAUAGGAUUUUGAACGCCAGGAGAGGAUGGAGGAGCCUUCAGUGACAUCACAGACUGGAGAAUGUCGUGACUCCACUCUGCCCGAGAACGAGUAACUUGGCAUCCUGAGCACCAUGGGUUAAUGAGGAGAAUGGCAGAGAUACAGACAGUGUUCAAAAACACCAGGUCCUGCCUGAUGGAGAAGACUCAAGGCGAGAUGCUCCCCUUUGCAGCAUAUCCUUUGAUAAUCUCCAGGAAGAGCCAGAGGCUGCAAUGCCAUGGCUUUCGAAGCACCCACAAGGAUGACGUGAACGUCUCUGAAUGCCACUCUGUCUAGAGCCCAGAACUCUGCCAGACCACUGACGUUUGCCGCUGCUGCCCCCGCUGUUGGUGGAGAGCCUGAGAAGCCGUGAAGUCCCCCUAGCGGGGUCUUUAUGGCAGCAACGCUGCUGUGGGCCUACAUGCCAAGAGAGAAGCCACAUCUCUGCUGCUUUUUUGGUCAUUGUCCUUUGAAAAAAAAAAAAAAAAUAGCAAUUGGAACUGAGCUCAAAAGUCCAAAGAGGAUCCCCUGAAAGCACAUGUUCCCUAACAUUGUUGCUGUUUGUCUGGCUGGCUGGACAGACCUUGUGGGCCCCUGGAGGGCUCCACCCUGCCCACACUGCCCAGUGGGCAUGUGGUACCAUAUUCCAAUAUGCUGGUUUGAGAUGUGAAUGGAAGCCAGUGCUGUGUGGGAGAGGACUCUCUCCUUCUCAGUGGGGCUCCUGAGCCCACUUCCUGCAGCCCUACCCUUCUGCACAGCCAGGCCAGGCAGGUGGCUCAUAUUGAGCUUGAAGUCAGAUGAAGCCCUCUAGGCAAUUUCCUCACAGGCAAGCUCAGUCUCUGCUGUGCUGUGUGUGUCAUUCUCCUCGUGACCUGAAAGCCAAGACUUAAUUUUCACCUAAAAUUGCAUGUGGUCAAGUGCAGCCCAACUACAGCAACUGUGAGGGCCAGCAUUCCUCGGCUGGUCUAAUAGAUGUGCUCUGCUUUGUCACCCAGGCUUGACCUGCCCCACUAAUUUAUAUUUCCCAGAGUCUAAUUUUGUAAUUUGUAUUUAUAUUGCCACCCCUUCAAAUGUGUGUUUGUUUGCUUUAAAACGCCUCAUAUCUUUUAUGUUAUGAGGCAGUUAAGUCAAUAAAGAAGUGGAUUUGGA